UACGUAGGGCGCGAGCGUUGUCCGGAAUUAUUGGGCGUAAAGAGCUUGUAGGCGGUUUGUCGCGUCUGCUGUGAAAAUCCGGGGCUCAACCCCGGACUUGCAGUGGGUACGGGCAGACUAGAGGUCGGUAGGGGAGUGUGGAAUUCCUGGUGGAGCGGUGAAAUGCGCAGAUAUCAGGAGGAACACCCGUAGCGAAGGCGGCACUCUGGGCCGAUACUGACACUGAGGAGCGAAAGCGUGGGGAGCGAACAGG
RNAcentral lists this ribosomal RNA (253 nucleotides) under uncultured bacterium. RNAcentral's name for it is "partial 16S ribosomal RNA". It matches the Rfam family "Bacterial small subunit ribosomal RNA", at positions 524 to 776 of the family's 1533-position model. The record is from RNAcentral.